RNAcentral lists this ribosomal RNA (498 nucleotides) under uncultured bacterium. Its description in RNAcentral is "partial 16S ribosomal RNA". It matches the Rfam family "Bacterial small subunit ribosomal RNA", at positions 29 to 523 of the family's 1533-position model. The record is from RNAcentral.
AUUGAACGCUGGCAGCAUGCUUUACACACGCAAGUCGAACGGUAACAGGCCGCAAGGUGCUGACGAGUGGCGAACGGGUGAGUAAUGCAUCGGAACGUGCCCAGUCGUGGGGGAUAACGCAGCGAAAGCUGCGCUAAUACGGCAUACGAUCUCUGGAUGAAAGCGGGGGACCGAAAGGCCUCGCGCGAUUGGAGCGGCCGAUGUCAGAUUAGGUAGUUGGUGGGGUAAAGGCCCACCAAGCCAACGAUCUGUAGCUGGUCUGAGAGGACGACCAGCCACACUGGGACUGAGACACGGCCCAGACUCCUACGGGAGGCAGCAGUGGGGAAUUUUGGACAAUGGGCGCAAGCCUGAUCCAGCAAUGCCGCGUGCAGGAAGAAGGCCUUCGGGUUGUAAACUGCUUUUGUACGGAACGAAACGGUCCGGGCCAAUACCCUGGGCUAAUGACGGUACCGUAAGGAUAAGCACCGGCUAACUACGUGCCAGCCGCCGCGGUAA